UAAUCUAACAAACUCAAAGGAGAAUAAGUGCUCAAGCCAAUUUUGGCUAAAAACUCCUAAAAUGAUAGAUGAAAACAUUAGCGUCCUGAUGAAGAUAAAAUUCUGAAUAAGAGAAAGCCAAAGAGAAGAGAAGAGAAUUUUUCUUUUUAAGGUUGUAUCAGUUGUCUGUGAUUCAACUGCCCUUCUUUCUUCACUGUCAAAUUCACAACGGUUCUUUUAUUACCAACACUUCUGAUAAGAAAAAGGAAAAGAGAUGUUUCCCCUUGAGGUUGCAAAGGAUCAAAUCGAGUUCCUUGAAAGGGAGUUGAGAUUCCUGGAUAUUUUCCUCAAUUUACAGAGCUCCAAAGCUGAAUGUGACACUUUGGAUGUCACACAAAAAGCACAAACUCUACUUCACGAUACUCGAGUUGAUCUCUCCACUCUUAAUUUGACUUCUCCAAAUUUUUAUCCGUCCAUCUAUCAGAUGGAAGGCGACAUUCGUUUGAUCAAGUCGGAAAUCAGAGCCAAUUACUCCUUUCCGAAAACAUCAUUGCCCCUUUCAGCCAGCAAGAAUGGUGUUGCUAUUUCCGAAAUUGUACCUGAAUUUAUGGGCACUGUUGUGUGUAUUCUCAGUGAUUUACUGAAUAUUUAUGAUGGCCGUUCUGUACUUUUUGUUCCAGGACCCAAGGAACAAAUAGUAGAAGUUUUAGAAGAGUUGAAGUCUCUGAGAGCUUUUGUCUGCUUUGUUGCAAAGAGAUGCAAAGAGCCUCAGAGUUGCCAUCAUGAUUUCUUCACUCAUAUUUUUGUUGUGGCUGGCCAUGCAGCCAUGCUUGUCUGGUUGAGUUUACCAGGCACUGACAAUGGAACUCAAGACUUGGCUUCUGGUGAAAUGAAUGCUUUGCUUUCUGAUCACCUGCGAAUGAGGAUUAAGCCUAUUGAGCCAAGUAUCCGCAAGAUCUACGUUGAUGUUCUGCAAGCUUUAAAGUCAACAUCACAAUCAGGAUGGCGUCCCGAUAUCCAAAAUGAGAAUACAACAAACAGUGAAACUGCCUUUUUGGAGACUGUCCUGCACAACUUGGUGGAGCUACCAGCAAUUGGUAACACUACAGUUGCUUUGAAAGAUGAAACAGCAAACCUUCAGGAGAUGCUCAACCUCUUGCGAGCCAAUCUCCCCUAUACGCCGAUGCAACAUCUUGAAUCUCAUUUUGAAGAUCUCCACAUUAUGAUUAUUGAUGCUGGAAUUCUAGUUUACUCGUUAUAUGAUGUUGCAUCGGCCAAAGUGAACCAAGCACUGCUUGAUUUUCCCGGAAAUAUUCAGCAUUUCAACACUGUGAUUUAUCCCAUAGUUCAGAAGGUAUUCCAAUCUAAUUUGCCACGGAUUCACGGAAUAGGCUAUGUUGAUUUCCUUUUAAGCAACCUGAAUGAGUUUCAAGGUCGUUAUUCAAAGUCACUUGUUUCUAUCAAGAACCAACUUCAAAUAAUUCAGAAGGAACUUGAGAGCGUGCAACCGUUUCUCAAGGAUGUUGCAAAAGAGCGACAUAAGCACCACGAAAUUCAACAUUUGGCUCAGUUAGUGAUUGGCACAGCAUAUGAAGUGGAAUAUAUAGUCGAUUCUUUUAUCAGCAAAGAAGUUCCCGAGUGGUGUCUUGAGCGUUGGCUCGUUGAUAUCAUAGAUGAAAUUAAACUUAACAGAUCAAAAAUAGAUGUUCAAUUGAAGAAAACACCUGCCGUUGACAUAGCAUUACAUGAUCCCGUGGAUGCAGACGCUGCUCAUACAUCAUCAGAAUCUACGUCCCUAAAGAAUGAAGAAAUCGUGGGCUUUGAUCAUAUCGUUCCAGAAUUAAGAAAGAAGCUAACUAAAGGAUCCCAACAGCUAGACGUCAUCUCGAUUGUCGGCAUGGGCGGACAAGGUAAGACGACAUUGGCCAACAAACUCUUUAAUGAUGACUCAGUUAAAUCUCGAUUUGAUAUUCGGGCGCAAUGUUGCGUGUCGCAAGAGUAUUCAUGUAGGUCCAUUUUAUUGGCCAUUUUACGUGAUCUUUCUUGUGAUGACCCUGCUGCUAGUGAAUUGUCUACUGAAGAUCUACGAGAUAAGCUUCAAAAAAUUUGUAAAGUGAAAAGAUAUCUUAUCCUUAUCGAUGACAUAUGGGAAGCUAGUGUGUGGGAAGAUUUACAGCCUUGCUUUGCGGAUGUUAAUAACGGAAGUCGAAUUAUUCUAACAACACGACAAGUUGAAGUUGCCAACUCAGCUAGAAUUUCUUGUGAGCCCUUUCAUCUUCCUAUGUUUAAGGAAGACGAAAGUUGGAAAUUGCUGAAAGAGAAAGUGUUUGGUAACGAAGGAUGCUCUCCUGAUCUUGAAAAGGUUGGGCUAGAAAUAGCAAAGAAGUGCGCAGGGCUGCCUCUUUCAAUUGUUUUGGUGGCUGGUAUUCUCGCAAAGGAAAAGAAUGAACAAUGUUGGAGACAAGUCGCUAAGAAUUUAGGUUCCCACAUUCAAAGUGACGCAAAGGCUAUGAUAGAGCACAGUUAUAAACAUUUACCCCAUCAUUUAAAGCCUUGCUUCCUUUAUUUUGGAGCAUUUUCAGAAGACAGGACGAUCAAUGUUUCAGACUUGACAUGCUUAUGGAUGGCAGAAGGAUUCAUAAAAAUUGAUAAAGAUAAGAGUUUGGAGGAUGUAGCAUCAGAUUACUUGGAGAAUCUUAUUGGACGAAAUCUAGUGAAAAUUGCAAAAAGGAGUUCUGAUGGCAAGGUCAAAGCAUGCCAGAUCCAUGAUCUAUUGCUUGAUUUCUGCAAGGAAACAGCUGAGCAGGAAAAGCUUCUACUCUGCAUAGAUAGGUACCAAAGUGCCAAUCCUUCACCUGGCAUUUACUCACACCGGCAGCUAGCUCAAGGUCGCCUGUCCAUUUAUGCUGACAAGAAUGAUCUUGCAAAAUGGAGUUCGUCUUGCUCACUUGUUGGGUCUGUACUUUGCAGGGAUGAUAUCAUAGAAUACCUCUCUCCAACCUCGCGCAUCUUUCAGAAAUUCAAGUUUCUAAAAGUGUUGGAUCUGAAGUUCAUCGUUGUUGAUUCUUUCCCAACAGAGCUGGUUUACUUGAGGUAUUUUGCAGUACGAACUGCGAAGAAGUCAAUUACAUCAUGCAUAAGCAAUCUAUGGAACCUUGGGACUUUGAUAGUCAAAGGGGAAGGGACAUACUUGUCACUACCGUUUACACUCUGGAAGAUGUCUAAAUUGAGAAUUCUGCAUAUUUGUGACAAUGCUUAUUUCACCAUUAAUGGUGCAGAAGAAUCACUUGAGAACUCCUCCAAUCUUGACAAUUUGGAGACUCUUUCCUGUCCAUGUUUUUCUUGUGCGGAGGAUGCAGAAUUUGUAUUGAGAAAGACACCAAAUAUUCGGAAUCUGAGAUGCUCAAUUAAGUAUCCUGAAGUAAACUUUUGGGUCCUUCAAUUGGAAUUUCUAGCACAGCUUAAGACGCUCAAGGUUCAUUUUGACGUGCAUUCAGCCAUAGCUGGUGCUUACAUCUUCCCCUCAAAUCUCAACAAAUUGACUUUGUCCACCAUUUUCUGGGGCACUGGUUCAGAGAUUGCUAUGCUUCCCAAUCUUCAGGUACUUAAACUGGUAAAUGUUGAGUUUGAUAAAGGCGAAUGGACAGUGAACGACAAUGAGUUCCCUAAACUCAAAGUGUUGAAAGUAGUAAACUCUGAUAAUUUUAACGAGUGGAAUGUCUCGGAUGAUGCCUUUCCUUGUCUUGAACAUUUGACAUUGCAUAAAUGCAAAUAUCUUAAGGAGAUCCCCUCUUGGUUCGCGGAAAUCGCUUCUCUCAAGUUUGUUAGGGUAACGUCUUGCAAUGAAGCUCUUGUUGCUUCAGUCGAGGAGAUCAGGACAAUGCAAGUUGAAGAUUACCAAAGAUCUGAAUUCCAGAUCUUCGUUGACAAGUAGAAUAUGUAUUGCUUAUGAGCUCUCCAUCGACAUCCCUGCUUGCCGACGGAGGGCAAUUUGAUAUUUGCAGUGCUCAUAUAUUAGGGAGAGGAGGGUUUCUAUCUAAACCAGGACAGAAAGGGGAUUGUGAAUGUGAAAAUCACUAUGGAUGACAUACAGGAAGAGGUUGAGUACUAGAAUACAAUGGUGAUAUGCUAUGUCUUCGGAUUUAACCCUCCGUAAAUUGUUACGGAGGAUACUCCCGACGUAUAUGGGGAGCAUUAGGAUUGAUAAAAUUGCCCAAAUUAACAAGGGGUUUUCAUUGUUAGAUUUCAUAAAGCUGAAAAUCGCACACAGGUUGUGAAGGAAGGGAUGAGAAUGUUUGAUAGAAAAAAGACAAGAUGAAUGGAAGCAUCACGAUUAAUGAUUGCAGAAGGAAUGUUAUAGAGAAACGAAAUAAAUCACAAAAGCAGGCCAAUAGA
RNA transcript from Nicotiana tabacum (common tobacco), 4374 nucleotides. It is a transcript of the gene named late blight resistance protein R1-A, with no coding region annotated. The record is from RefSeq and is a predicted model, not a curated record. Lineage: Eukaryota; Viridiplantae; Streptophyta; Magnoliopsida; Solanales; Solanaceae.